ACAUGCUUACGGGACGCAGCAGUGGGGGAUAUUGCACAAUGGGGGAAACCCUGAUGCAGCGACGCCGCGUGAGCGAUGAAGUAUUUCGGUAUGUAAAGCUCUAUCAGCAGGGAAGAAAAUGACGGUACCUGACUAAGAAGCCCCGGCUAACUACGUGCCAGCAGGCGCGGUAAUACGUAUGGAGCAAGCGUUAUCCGGAUUUACUGGGUGUAAAGGGAGCGCAGGCGGUCUGGCAAGUCUGAUGUGAAAUACCGGGGCUCAACUCCGGGACUGCAUUGGAAACUGUCAGACUGGAGUGUCGGAGG
RNAcentral lists this ribosomal RNA (305 nucleotides) under uncultured bacterium. RNAcentral describes it as "bacterial SSU rRNA". It matches the Rfam family "Bacterial small subunit ribosomal RNA", at positions 333 to 655 of the family's 1533-position model. The record is from RNAcentral.